GAUGAACGCUGGCGGCGUGCCUAAUACAUGCAAGUCGAGCGAACAGAUGAGGAGCUUGCUCCUCUGACGUUAGCGGCGGACGGGUGAGUAACACGUGGAUAACCUACCUAUAAGACUGGGAUAACUUCGGGAAACCGGAGCUAAUACCGGAUAAUAUAUUGAACCGCAUGGUUCAAUAGUGAAAGACGGUUUUGCUGUCACUUAUAGAUGGAUCCGCGCCGCAUUAGCUAGUUGGUAAGGUAACGGCUUACCAAGGCAACGAUGCGUAGCCGACCUGAGAGGGUGAUCGGCCACACUGGAACUGAGACACGGUCCAGACUCCUACGGGAGGCAGCAGUAGGGAAUCUUCCGCAAAGGGCGAAAGCCUGACGGAGCAACGCCGCGUGAGUGAUGAAGGUCUUCGGAUCGUAAAACUCUGUUAUUAGGGAAGAACAAAUGUGUAAGUAACUAUGCGCGUCUUGACGGUACCUAAUCAGAAAGCCACGGCUAACUACGUG
RNAcentral lists this ribosomal RNA (497 nucleotides) under uncultured bacterium. RNAcentral's name for it is "partial 16S ribosomal RNA". It matches the Rfam family "Bacterial small subunit ribosomal RNA", at positions 28 to 507 of the family's 1533-position model. The record is from RNAcentral.